AGAGUUUGAUCCUGGCUCAGGAUGAACGCUGGCGGCGUGCUUAACACAUGCAAGUCGAACGGAAAGGCUCCUGCUUGCAGGGGUACUCGAGUGGCGAACGGGUGAGUAACACGUGGGUGAUCUGCCCUGCACUUCGGGAUAAGCCUGGGAAACUGGGUCUAAUACCGGAUAGGACGAUGGUUUGGAUGCCAUUGUGGAAAGUUUUUCGGUGUGGGAUGAGCUCGCGGCCUAUCAGCUUGUUGGUGGGGUAAUGGCCUACCAAGGCGUCGACGGGUAGCCGGCCUGAGAGGGUGUACGGCCACAUUGGGACUGAGAUACGGCCCAGACUCCUACGGGAGGCAGCAGUGGGGAAUAUUGCACAAUGGGCGCAAGCCUGAUGCAGCGACGCCGCGUGGGGGAUGACGGCCUUCGGGCUGUAAACUCCUUUCGUCAGGGACGAAGCGAAAGUGACGGUACCUGGAUAAGAAGCACCGGCUAACUACGUG
This 485-nucleotide ribosomal RNA is filed under the name uncultured Corynebacterium sp. Its description in RNAcentral is "bacterial SSU rRNA". It matches the Rfam family "Bacterial small subunit ribosomal RNA", at positions 8 to 507 of the family's 1533-position model. The record is from RNAcentral. Lineage: Bacteria; Bacillati; Actinomycetota; Actinomycetes; Mycobacteriales; Corynebacteriaceae.